Molecule: ribosomal RNA, 361 nt
Filed under: uncultured bacterium
Lineage: Bacteria
Description: partial 16S ribosomal RNA
Rfam family: Bacterial small subunit ribosomal RNA
Source: RNAcentral
CCUACGGGAGGCAGCAGUGAGGAAUAUUGGUCAAUGGACGGAAGUCUGAACCAGCCAUGCCGCGUGCAGGAAGACGGCUCUAUGAGUUGUAAACCGCUUUUGUACAAGGGUAAACCUGAAUACGUGUAUGUAGCUGAAAGUACUGUACGAAUAAGGAUCGGCUAACUCCGGGCCAGCAGCCGCGGUAAUACGGAGGAUCCAAGCGUUAUCCGGAUUUCUUGGGUUUAAAGGGUGCGCAGGUGGAUUGAUAAGUUAGAUGUGAAAAGUCCGAGCUUAACUCGAUAAGUGCCUCUGAUACUGGUGAUCUAGAGAGUAGAUGCGGUAGGCGGAAUGUAUGGUGUAGCGGUGAAAUGCUUAGAGA